Molecule: ribosomal RNA, 199 nt
Filed under: uncultured bacterium
Lineage: Bacteria
Description: partial 16S ribosomal RNA
Rfam family: Bacterial small subunit ribosomal RNA
Source: RNAcentral
ACGCUCGACACCUACGGGAGCAGCAGUUGGGAAUAUUGGACAAUGGAGGAAACUCUGAUCCAGUGACGCCGCGUGAAGGAAGAAGGUCUUCGGAUUGUAAACUUAUUUUGUCAGGGAAGAAAAAAUGACUGUACCUGAAGAAAAAGCACCGGCUAACUACGUACCAGCAGCCGCGGUAAUCUGAGCGGGCUGGCAAGGC